RNAcentral lists this unclassified non-coding RNA (3082 nucleotides) under Hevea brasiliensis (rubber tree). Lineage: Eukaryota; Viridiplantae; Streptophyta; Magnoliopsida; Malpighiales; Euphorbiaceae. The record is from RNAcentral.
GUUUUUUUUUUUUUUUUUUAAAUAACGGCAUCCUUUGAUGUCUCAAACAAGACUGACAGCAUGGAGGCAUGGGCUGCGUUGUUCAGAAAAUGAACAGACAGAAAAACCAAUAAAAGUGAACCCUGCUAAAAUGCUUGCUCUCUAAUAUUUCAAGUCAAGAUGUUUUCAAGUUUGCCAGAUGCAGGUAAAUCCCCUAAACAUCCAGGGCCGGUUGUUGGGUGGGGUUGGGGGGGGGAGAGGAGAGGGAGGAGGAGAGGGUGUGUGUGGUGAACUUUUGCUAAAAUGCUGUACAACAACAAUACACAUUCUAAUUAACAUUUUCAAAAGCCAUGCCACAUGAAGCUUUAGUCUUUUUAUAAAGGCCUGUAAAUUAUGUUGAUGGUUUGAUAUAAAUUGCUACAUGAAAGGUUAACCAUGGUGAUGUUUUUGAUCAGGUCUUGUAGAGAUUUGGACUGCUCUAGCAAUCAUAGAUCUCUUCCUCCACCAGCUUCAAUGCUACGAAUAAAAGUGUCACAUGUUUAGGUACAAUGUUUGUCCAAAUUGUCAACUAUGGAAAGUUCAUGAUUAUUUGACUUUUAGCGCUUGAUACUGCAAGAUUAAGGCAUUAACAUUUUCAUCCUUGCGUUACAUGUCCAAGCAUGACCAUUAUAAUAACGCAGGAAUGUUAUUCUUCAAUGUUUAUUCAACUUUACGAAUGGUUAUUUACUCUACAAGAUCUAAGUUCUAAAGAGAAGUUCUACAGUUCUGACCCAUGUUUGCCAUCUCUGACAUUAAGUUGCAAUAUGUCCCAUAUAACAGCAAUUCACUGCAUCUAAUAAUAUCUUAAGUAAAAUUGAUUUAACAAAUGGUUUAGAAGCUUCCACCUUCAUAAGAGAAAAGUUGCAAAUAUGUGAUGGGUCAAAUAUUGAUCCUCAAAAAUAAAAUCUAAGCGUAAACUACCAGUGACACAAUUAUAAAUUAGUACUGUUGCAAGAGCAUAACCUUCUCCUUCAAUUUAAAAAAAAAUCUUUCAAUUAAGUUGCAAAACACUUCUACUAUAACAUAGGAUUUGCACAAUUUGCAUGGCAUGACUAUAAAUUAUUUCAAUUGCUGUAUAAGCAAUAUUUUUGGUCUACAAGAUCAAUAACUAAAGGCUGCAAAAUUUUAGGAUUUACUGAAACAGUAUUUCGAAGGGUAGUAGUAUGCACACAGCAUUCCAAUGUAUACAUUUAAUUCCACAUAAAAAAUCCCAUAGAGCAAACAUGCAACUAUCAAAUUCAUGGCACAGUAUAUGUGAAUUCCCAAAGAGAAUGAUGAUGUCAACAACAGUAAUAACUGUAAUAUAUCACUUAAACUCGAGAAUACCAGGUUAGUUUCAAUGUUCAAAGGUUUUUUCAUUGAUGUGCCUUUUCUUUGGCAAAAAUGCCCGUCUACUACUGUGGCAAAAGGGUACUGAUCAACAUUAAUUUAUUUUCUCCAUUAGGGAUGUCAAAAAUAUGUUCUUUCCCACAAAAUUUUUCAACUAAAAAAGCAUGUAUACAGCAAUGGGUAUAGCAUGGCAGGUAAUGGUACUGGCCUCAUCUCUUAACAAGAAGCAUCAAACACCUGCUGGGGUAGGGAAGAUUGCCAUCCCUGUAAAUAUUCAUCACUUGAAAACUAAAUAAUAUAAGACACAUAAGUGUUCUCACAAGUUCUCACCGGGUCUUUUCUAAUUCCAUUUGCGUGCCUAGUAAUUUUGGUCUUCUUGAUCUAGCGUUAAAAACUCCUCAAACUUUUAGAAGUACUAAUUUUCCUUUUUCCUAUGGAAUCUGGUAGGAAACUAUAUUCCUAUUCUAAAGCAUUCAUAGAGUUUCCAUUUAUAGCACAUACCUUAUGUAUAUUACGCUGCAUGCAUCAAAUUUUUUUCACCCUUGAUUGUACUUCAUGAUUAAUGCUAAUAUUAGGACCUUUACUUUAACUAAAUCCCUUCUUCCUUAUUUGCUAAUAUAGCGCAAUGAUUUCAGGCAGGACAAACAACUAAAGGUUUGUAUUGAUGCACGAUACAUAAUUGGCAGCGAAGCAAACACCAUAACUGCACAAAAUAAGUUUUUGGCAUAUAAAAAUAAGGAUAUCGUGGACAAACUUUGUUUUCAGGGAGCACACUCAUGAGUGUUUCCUUUUGCUUUAAUGUGCAACUUUUCUGCUUCACAGUUUCCAGAUAUCGAAGCACCUCUGGCUUGGAAUAGAAUUUGUGCCCAGUAGAAAUAUCAACAUAACACUUGUAUACUUUUCCACUUGCAAAGCCACUUUGUCUGGUCUUUGACUCCACAAUCCAACCAUGAGGUAACCAUUCAGGAUGUUCAUUUGUACAUUCUACAAAAUGCAUGUGGUUAUUAUUUAUGGGCCUUCCAAUAGAACUCUUAGUUGGCUGAGGGCGGUCAUGUUGAGUGCUUCGUGCUUUAACAUGGCGUACGAAAUCAUCCUUGGAGAAGAAUUUUUUACCGGCUCCAGAGUUCACAUAAUACUACAAAGGCCAAAUAUAUUGUAAGCAUGGUAGUGGAAGUAAAAGCAGACAACUUGAUCCCAGAAUUCUGUUAUGUUAAAUUAUGUGCUCCUCCCCUUUUGCCAUAUUACUUAUUCACUGUUUUAGAUAUUUGUUCUGUCCAUAAAUCAUUGAUCCGAAUGUAAUAUGAACCAAGUUAAUUCCUGAAUCCUGACUAUUAAAAUCAAUAAAGUGACAAACUCAAAGGAAAAUAUAGCAAGAGAUAAGAAAGCCAUUCAUUGUGGUGAUUAAACUUUUAAUUACCUGUGUCUCUGACAUUAAUUCUUAAAUUGCAAUUCCCAUUGCCUUAGCAACACUUUGCUGACUAUGUUGGUUAUGCUCAUUAAAAUUCCAAAAUAAUGUCCUUGAAAACUAUCGAGACUACGUUUUAGCAUUCUGGCAGUUCAGUUGACUGUUUUCAGAUAUGCUAAUAGAUUUAAUUUGGUAAUUUCUUAAUGAAAAUCCUCUAAUACUCUACAGAUAUUGAAAACAACUUGUUGGUUAACUUCAUACAACCAAAUAGGCAAGUGUCUUCUGUUAUUUUAAUAUUAAAAAAGCUAAAAACUCAACUCAACUCAACUC